Molecule: ribosomal RNA, 492 nt
Filed under: uncultured bacterium
Lineage: Bacteria
Description: partial 16S ribosomal RNA
Rfam family: Bacterial small subunit ribosomal RNA
Source: RNAcentral
AGUGAACGCUGGCGAUAGGCCUAACACAUGCAAGUCGAACGGCAGCACAGUAAGAGCUUGCUCUUACGGGUGGCGAGUGGCGGACGGGUGAGGAAUACAUCGGAAUCUACUUUUUCGUGGGGGAUAACGUAGGGAAACUUACGCUAAUACCGCAUACGACCUACGGGUGAGAGCAGGGGAUCUUCGGACCUUGCGCGAUUGAAUGAGCCGAUGUCGGAUUAGCUAGUUGGCGGGGUAAAGGCCCACCAAGGCGACGAUCCGUAGCUGGUCUGAGAGGAUGAUCAGCCACACUGGAACUGAGACACGGUCCAGACUCCUACGGGAGGCAGCAGUGGGGAAUAUUGGACAAUGGGCGCAAGCCUGAUCCAGCCAUACCGCGUGGGUGAAGAGGGCCUUCGGGUUGUAAAGCCCUUUUGUUGGGAAAGAAAGGCAGCAGGUUAAUACCCCGCUGUUCUGACGGUACCCAAAGAAUAAGCACCGGCUAACUUCGUG